This 256-nucleotide ribosomal RNA is filed under the name uncultured bacterium. RNAcentral's name for it is "partial 16S ribosomal RNA". It matches the Rfam family "Bacterial small subunit ribosomal RNA", at positions 521 to 776 of the family's 1533-position model. The record is from RNAcentral.
UAAUACGUAGGUGGCAAGCGUUGUCCGGAAUUAUUGGGCGUAAAGCGCGCGCAGGUGGUUCCAAAAGUCUGAUGUGAAAGCCCCCGGCUCAACCGGGGAGGGUCAUUGGAAACUGGGGAACUUGAGUGCAGGAGAGGAAAGUGGAAUUCCACGUGUAGCGGUGAAAUGCGUAGAUAUGUGGAGGAACACCAGUGGCGAAGGCGACUUUCUGGCCUGUAACUGACACUGAGGCGCGAAAGCGUGGGGAGCAAACAGG